AAAGCCUCUACGUACGUGUAACUAAAACUGUCUAGUAUCUGUUCUUAUUAGCUUAAUAUCUGAUACGGGUUGCAUUUAUACCUAAGAUAUUAAACUUAUUGUUGCAAGUUAGCGGAGUGCUUAAAGCCUUCUUGACCUCCACUGCGGGUCGGCCCGAUAUUCCACUAUUUUCGGGAUCGGGCCACGUAUG
Molecule: small nuclear RNA, 190 nt
Organism: Dermacentor andersoni
Lineage: Eukaryota; Metazoa; Arthropoda; Arachnida; Ixodida; Ixodidae
Product: U2 spliceosomal RNA
Source: RefSeq, a predicted model, not a curated record